This 279-nucleotide ribosomal RNA is filed under the name uncultured bacterium. RNAcentral's name for it is "partial 16S ribosomal RNA". It matches the Rfam family "Bacterial small subunit ribosomal RNA", at positions 506 to 784 of the family's 1533-position model. The record is from RNAcentral.
UGCCAGCCGCCGCGGUAAUACGGGGGAUGCAAGCGUUAUUCGGAAUCAUUGGGCGUAAAGGGCACGCAGGCGGUCUUGUCAGUCAGAUGUGAAAGCCCGGGGCUCAACCUCGGACGUGCACUUGAAACAGCAAGACUUGAAUACGGUAGAGGAGAGAGGAAUUCCUGGUGUAGAGGUGAAAUUCGUAGAUAUUAGAAGGAACAUCAGAGGCGAAGGCGGCUUUCUGGUCCGAUACUGACGCUGAGGUACGAAAGCAUGGGUAGCGAAGAGGAUUAGAUA